Molecule: ribosomal RNA, 468 nt
Filed under: uncultured bacterium
Lineage: Bacteria
Description: partial 16S ribosomal RNA
Rfam family: Bacterial small subunit ribosomal RNA
Source: RNAcentral
GACGAACGCUGGCGGCGUGCUUAACACAUGCAAGUCGAACGGAAAGGCCCUGCUUUUGUGGGGUGCUCGAGUGGCGAACGGGUGAGUAACACGUGAGUAACCUGCCCUUGACUUUGGGAUAACUUCAGGAAACUGGGGCUAAUACCGGAUAGGAGCUCCUGCUGCAUGGUGGGGGUUGGAAAGUUUCGGCGGUUGGGGAUGGACUCGCGGCUUAUCAGCUUGUUGGUGGGGUAGUGGCUUACCAAGGCUUUGACGGGUAGCCGGCCUGAGAGGGUGACCGGCCACAUUGGGACUGAGAUACGGCCCAGACUGCUACGGGAGGCAGCAGUGGGGAAUAUUGCACAAUGGGCGGAAGCCUGAUCCAGCAACGCCGCGUGCGGGAUGACGGCCUUCGGGUUGUAAACCGCUUUCGCCUGUGACGAAGCGUGAGUGACGGUAAUGGGUAAAGAAGCACCGGCUAACUACGUG